Molecule: long non-coding RNA, 1449 nt
Filed under: Sus scrofa (pig)
Lineage: Eukaryota; Metazoa; Chordata; Mammalia; Artiodactyla; Suidae
Description: lncRNA (ENSSSCG00060078711.1)
Source: RNAcentral
UUUAUUUAUAUUUAUUGAACUAUAGUUGAUUUACAAUGUUUUGUUAGUUUCUGGGGUAUGACAGCUAUUCUUUUUCAGAUUGUUUUCUGUUAUAGGUUAUCAGAAGACAAUGAAUAUAGUUCCCUGUGCUAUAUAGUAGGACCUUGUUUAUCUGUUUUAAACAAGGUAAUUUGUAUCUGCUAAUCCCAAACUCUUUAAUUUAUCCCCUCCUUCCAAUUUGGUAACCAUAAGUUUGUUUCUUAUGUGUGUGAGUCUGUUCUUUUUGGCAAAUAAAUUCAUCUCUAUCAUUCUUUUUUAGAUUCCACAUAUAUGUGAUAUAAUACUUGUCUUUUUCUGUCUGACUAACUUCACUUAGUAUGCCACUUCAAAUAAAGCAGUUAUUGUUUUAAGUCCCUAAAUUUCAGGGUUUUUUAAAUUUUCCUCAAGCAGGGGUUGAUGACAGGAGAGAAUCCCAGCUCUGCUUCUCAGCUAGACUAGAAUUGGCUCCAAGGGUGGGGGUGGGAGGUGGGGGCGGGCCUGUGCUGCUAAUUGAUAGACAGGGCUGGCCACUGAGCACAGCCUUCAACCACCUUGCCCUGGGAGAACAAACAAGACUUUGAUGGAUGUCCCACCACCUCUGAAGCUGCAACAGGACCACUGACACACUGGUGGGGAGCUCCUCAAAGUGUCUUCAGAACAGGAGGGGGGCACCCCCACCACCACCAAUGCCUGGCCCCUGCACCCCUCCCCCACACCAAAUCAGCAAAAUGGCCCAGAAAAUCACCCCCAGCUCUCCACCCCCCAGAACACAAGGUUCCACUUUAGGCUAAGGGUUUUUCCAACCAUGACCCACGAGGGUCCUUCCAGAAACAGAUUCUUUCCCUCUGGGGAGGGGGAAGUCUGUGCAAGGUGACAGGAAAACAGUUCAUGAUCAGAGGUGACAUAGGAGGAAGCACGGGGAUGUGAAUCACUGGAAGAUGCAAAUAACUUCAGCCAGGUUAGUUGCCUUGGCAACCAGGUAGAGCAGCAGAGACAAUGCAUGAAAGUCAAAUGGACUAGGCAUGGGGAUGGGAUACACAAUGCUGGUGUCCAGUGUCCUCUGUGAUCCUAUAUCCUCAAGCAGUGCCCAUCCUCACUGGCUGAGAACUUGUGUGCUCUGAUAGUGGGCUCAUCAAUGUGAACAGGACAGUGUCCAGAUGGUGCACUGGUCCACCCUGAACUUUUCUCCAGUGGGAGAGGGUCACUUCCUCGGUCCAUCAGGUGAUAGAGUCAAGGCAGGUGCUGCCAACCCUGGAGUUCUUGGAGCAAAGCUUCCACCUGGAAGGUUGAGCCCCUGGAAGCUGCCAGGCCACAGGCAUGACAGCCAAUGCCAGGGCCCAGUGUCUCAGAGGGAAGAGGAUAACAGAGUCCUCCCAGCCCCUGGACCAGAUGCUUGGGUAGGGCCUGAAGCCAUCAACCAUACAGCUUUCC